UUUUUAUUAAAAAAACAUUGUCUCGAGGGCUUCCUAAUUUCACGACUGAUUAGUAAGGGCAAAAGUGUAGCCGUACGCCGCGCUCGGCUUUUCUACAUACCUUUCUCUUGGGCAUGUUGAGUUUGGGAUAUUUUUCUUCUUUUAUGCAAAACUAACACGUUAUCUUUAGUGAUUCGGAGUUCACAGUUCAGGAGACUGUCGUCCGCUAUGCACUAAUUCUGUAGUAAACACAGAGCUACAUUAGAGCCAGUGGUUGAAUGGGAGGGUGGGGGCGGGGCCACGCUGUGACUGACGUUCCGCUUGUCCAAUCAGCGGGCGUCUGGGUCCGCCACCGACGAGGCAGAUUAUUACCUCCGCUGUGCUUUUACGCGCGAAAUCCUGAGCCAUAGGCCUACAAGGAAUCCCACUCUAAAACAUUUGGUGGCUAUCAUCA
RNAcentral lists this long non-coding RNA (433 nucleotides) under Sinocyclocheilus grahami. RNAcentral describes it as "lncRNA (ENSSGRG00000021288.1)". Lineage: Eukaryota; Metazoa; Chordata; Actinopteri; Cypriniformes; Cyprinidae. The record is from RNAcentral.